RNAcentral lists this long non-coding RNA (518 nucleotides) under Elaeis guineensis (African oil palm). RNAcentral describes it as "long non-coding RNA (EGUI_LNC040445)". The record is from RNAcentral. Lineage: Eukaryota; Viridiplantae; Streptophyta; Magnoliopsida; Arecales; Arecaceae.
UAUUUUGAAGGACAUUGGGGAUGGCAUGGUAGCUUUCUCCUUGAAAACUCAUCCGUCUCUCGAAUACCUCUCUGGAAAAUCCUAGAAAGUCAGCUCGGGGGGUGAAGAACUAUCCUCUAAAGAUGUUUAAGACCUUUCUAUGGAGCAUAAUGUAGAAGAAGCCCUCAAAGCGGUCACUCACUCCUCAUCUGGACCAAUGGCCGUCAUGGGCCAUUGCAUUCUCGAUCAAACCUAUGCCAGGGAGAUGGAACUUUCAGAAUAGAAAGUCAACCCCUGAUCCUGAUUGGGUUGAUUGAAAUAUCAGCAGUCUCUUUGAGCCAAUACCAUUGUGGUUCCACAAUCAGAGAAGAGACAUUUUCCAACAUAGCCAAUGCCAAACUGAAAUGCUUGUAGGUGCAUCCCCAUGGGACACCCUAUAGCCAAGCAGGAGUAGGAGAAAAUCCUUCCAUAAAGAGGUGGAUCCCGACGACCAUCAAACUGUUGCCUAGAAAGGUAGCAACCCAAAAGAGGGGGGUCAU